RNAcentral lists this ribosomal RNA (253 nucleotides) under uncultured bacterium. RNAcentral's name for it is "partial 16S ribosomal RNA". It matches the Rfam family "Bacterial small subunit ribosomal RNA", at positions 524 to 776 of the family's 1533-position model. The record is from RNAcentral.
UACGAAGGUCCCGAGCGUUGUUCGGAAUCACUGGGCGUAAAGGGAGCGUAGGCGGCGCGGUAAGUCAGAUGUGAAAUCCCGGGGCUCAACCCCGGAACUGCAUCCGAUACUGCCGUGCUAGAGGAUUGGAGAGGUAGCUGGAAUUCUUGGUGUAGCAGUGAAAUGCGUAGAUAUUAGGAAGAACACCAGUGGCGAAGGCGCUCUACUGGGCCAUUACUGACGCUGAUGGACGAAAGCUAGGGGAGCGAAAGGG